RNAcentral lists this ribosomal RNA (452 nucleotides) under uncultured organism. Its description in RNAcentral is "partial 16S ribosomal RNA". It matches the Rfam family "Bacterial small subunit ribosomal RNA", at positions 332 to 800 of the family's 1533-position model. The record is from RNAcentral.
UACACUCCUACGGGAGGCAGCAGUGGGGAAUAUUGGACAAUGGGCGCAAGCCUGAUCCAGCCAUGCCGCGUGAGUGAUGAAGGCCCUAGGGUUGUAAAGCUCUUUCACCGGUGAAGAUAAUGACGGUAACCGGAGAAGAAGCCCCGGCUAACUUCGUGCCAGCAGCCGCGGUAAUACGAAGGGGGCUAGCGUUGUUCGGAUUUACUGGGCGUAAAGCGCACGUAGGCGGACUAUUAAGUCAGGGGUGAAAUCCCGGGGCUCAACCCCGGAACUGCCUUUGAUACUGGUAGUCUUGAGUUCGAGAGAGGUGAGUGGAAUUCCGAGUGUAGAGGUGAAAUUCGUAGAUAUUCGGAGGAACACCACUGGCGAAGGCGGCUCACUGGCUCGAUACUGACGCUGAGGUGCGAAAGCGUGGGGAGCAAACAGGAUUAGAUACCCGAGUAGUCCCAUGA